AGCGAACGCUGGCGGCAGGCCUAACACAUGCAAGUCGAACGAACCUUUCGGGGUUAGUGGCGGACGGGUGAGUAACACGUGGGAACGUGCCUUUAGGUUCGGAAUAACUCAGGGAAACUUGUGCUAAUACCGAAUGUGCCCUUCGGGGGAAAGAUUAAUCGCCUUUAGAGCGGCCCGCGUCUGAUUAGCUAGUUGGUUGAGGUAAUGGCUCACCAAGGCGACGAUCAGUAGCUGGUCUGAGAGGAUGAUCAGCCACAUUGGGACUGAGACACGGCCCAAACUCCUACGGGAGGCAGCAGGGGGGAAUCUUGCGCAAGGGGCGAAAGCCUGACGCACCCAUGCCGCGUGAAUGAUUAAGGUUUUAGGUUUGUAAAAUUCUUUCCCCGGGGACGAUAAUGACGGUACCCGGAAAAGAAGCCCCGGCUAAUUUCGU
RNAcentral lists this ribosomal RNA (433 nucleotides) under uncultured bacterium. RNAcentral describes it as "partial 16S ribosomal RNA". It matches the Rfam family "Bacterial small subunit ribosomal RNA", at positions 29 to 506 of the family's 1533-position model. The record is from RNAcentral.